GACGAACGCUGGCGGCGUGCUUAACACAUGCAAGUCGAACGGAAAGGCCUGCUUUCCCUUUUGGAUUGCGGGUACUCGAGUGGCGAACGGGUGAGUAACACGUGAGUGAUCUGCCCCCAACUUGGGUAUAAGCCUGGGAAACUGGGUCUAAUUCCCGAUAGGACUGCAGGGUGGUGCCUGUGGUGGAAAACGAUUUUCUAGUGGUUGGGGAUGAGCUCGCGGCCUAUCAGCUUGUUGGUGGGGUAAUGGCCUACCAAGGCGGCGACGGGUAGCCGGCCUGAGAGGGUGGACGGCCACAUUGGGACUGGGAUACGGCCCAGACGCCUACGGGAGGCAGCAGUGGGGAAUAUUGGACAAUGGGCGGAAGCCUGAUGCAGCGACGCCGCGUGGGGGAUGACGGCCUUCGGGUUGUAAACUCCUUUCGACCGCGAGGAAGCCACCUGGUUGGAAGGGUGGUGACGGUAGUGGUAGAAGAAGCACCGGCUAACUACGUG
This 494-nucleotide ribosomal RNA is filed under the name uncultured bacterium. Its description in RNAcentral is "partial 16S ribosomal RNA". It matches the Rfam family "Bacterial small subunit ribosomal RNA", at positions 28 to 507 of the family's 1533-position model. The record is from RNAcentral.